This is a long non-coding RNA of Ornithodoros turicata, 540 nucleotides long. RefSeq lists it as uncharacterized. The transcript is spliced from 2 exons. The record is from RefSeq and is a predicted model, not a curated record. Lineage: Eukaryota; Metazoa; Arthropoda; Arachnida; Ixodida; Argasidae.
AGCAGCAGCAGCGAGCGGGGUUCUUUCGGCAGCCGGCAAGUUACGUCAGUGGUCUACUUCAGGGAACGGCAAUAGGAAUUCCUGCCCCCUCGGCAGCAUCGUGGACGAAUCUACGGGACAGGACCUGCUAUACUGCAGAUGACUUCGCAACAGUUCGGUAACAACUUCGCCGACCUCUACACCACGCUACGCCUGAACAUGAGGGUACCGGCUCUUUCCAGCCACAGCAACUCCGGUGUCACAAGACCUCUUGAUCGACUUGGACGCUCGUCCGAGCCACCGACAAGGCCGUCCUGCGUGGAGAACUGUCGGCAGCACCCGGCUGACAGCUCCUUCCGUGACAUCUUGCACUUGCCAGACCUUUGAAAAGGCGAAAGUGCGGCGAUAGCAAGCUCUCAUCACCGUUGCGAGGGAACCUCAAGCUACGUGAGACGAAAAGAAAUACAUCUCGACGACUGUUGGUAGCGGCGGACAGAUUACGACGCAGUGGUCUUCUGCAGGGACGGCGGUGUAUGCGAAUAAACAUGCUGUUGUUGGUUA